CGUAUCGACCAACCUACUAUCGAAGGAGGGAACGAACCGGCGAAAGUCGGACUAAUACCGCAUAAAACAGGGGCACCGCAUGGUGAUAUUUGUUAAAGAAAUUCGCUGAUAGAUGGGCAUGCGUUCCAUUAGGUAGUUGGUGAGGUAACGGCUCACCAAGCCGACGAUGGAUAGGGAACUGAGAGGUUGGUCCCCCACACUGGUACUGAGACACGGACCAGACUCCUACGGGAGGCAGCAGUGAGGAAUAUUGGUCAAUGGGCGGGAGCCUGAACCAGCCAAGUCGCGUGAAGGAAGAAGGAUCUAUGGUUCGUAAACUUCUUUUGCAGGGGAAUAAAGUGCAGGACGUGUCCUGUUUUGUAUGUACCCUGAGAAUAAGGAUCGGCUAACUCCGUGCCAGCCGCCGC
Molecule: ribosomal RNA, 407 nt
Filed under: uncultured bacterium
Lineage: Bacteria
Description: bacterial SSU rRNA
Rfam family: Bacterial small subunit ribosomal RNA
Source: RNAcentral